Rana temporaria (common frog) is the source of this 192-nucleotide small nuclear RNA. RefSeq annotates it as U2 spliceosomal RNA. NCBI's taxonomy places the organism in Eukaryota, Metazoa, Chordata, Amphibia, Anura, Ranidae. The transcript has a single exon. The record is from RefSeq and is a predicted model, not a curated record.
UUUUCUUUGAAAAAUAAAGUAUACAUUUUCAAUCAAAAAUCUGUUCUUAUCAGUUUAAUAUCUGAUACGUCCCCUAUCUGGGGACCAUAUAUUAAAUGGAUUUUUAGAACAGGGAGAUGGAAGAAGAGCUUUCUCUGUCCACUCCACGCAUCGACCUGGUAUUGCAGUACCUCCAGGACUGGUGCACCCCUC